UUUACAUGAAUUAAGCUGCAUCUGUUCUUACUCUAGGCUAGAACUGGAGUGUAAUAAAGGCAGAGAAUAGACUAGCUUUGUAAUUUCUUCUGUAUCAGCUCUAACACUUCACCUUCCACAGCCGGCUCUAUUAGCAGGAUGAUGUUGCUACCACAAGAUGGCAGUACCCUCUCUCCUCAGACUUGCUUGGUUUGAAAUCAACAUGUUGGUAUUGAAAGCGCAGGAUAGAGCUCCCUCUGAUUGGCUGGGUAAGAAGCCUGAGUCUCUCUCUGGGAUCCAGAGAGACUAGAUAAAUAUACCCAGAAAAAAGAACUAGACUGAGGAACCUGGCUUCAUUUCAGGCUCUGGAGCUGAGUCUCCUGUGAUCCCAAUAAGGAGGAAGAAUGGAGAAACUCCUGACCGUGUCUUUGGUGAUUCUGUGGCUUCAACUGGCCAGGGUGAAUAGCCAGCAAGGAGAAGAGAAUCUUCAGGCCCUGAGCAUCCAGGAGGGUGAAAAUGCCACCAUGAACUGCAGUUAUAAAACUGCUAUAGACACCUUACAUUGGUACAGACAGGAUUCAAGGAGAGGCUUUGCCCACCUGAUUUUGAUACGUUCAAAUGAGAGAGAGAAGCGUAGUGGAAGACUGCGAGUCACGUUUGACAACUCCAUCAAAGGCAGUUCCCUGUCCAUCACGGCUUCCCAGGCUGCAGACACUGCUAUUUACCUCUGUGCUACGGAUACACAGUGCUCACCAGGCAACUGCAGCCCCAACGCAAACCCUGCCAGAGCUGUCUCUUAGAAGCCGCAACAGUGUGUAGAGUUGGUGGUUAUGUCUUCCCACAAAGGAGAGUCUACAAACAGCUGGCAACAGGAAAGGGAGGCCUGUCAAAUUCCUGAUGUUUUUGGCAGCAUGUUAGACUAGGGUAAAGGCCAUGAGAUUUAGAACGGGAAACUGAAAUACCAGCUUCAGCUCUGCCCAUCCUGGCUCUGUGUCCUUAAGCACACCAUCGGUGUAGCAGCCUUCAGUUUCCUCACUUUAAACAAAGGAUUUGGACUGAUGAGCCUAAAGACCUUUCAAGCUCUAAUUUUACCAGGUCACUUGUGGAGGAUGAGGAAGGACUUGUCAGUAUUAGAAGGUCUCAUCUGUUAUAUGUACAGCCUCCUCAAGACUUAGGUGGGGCUUUGAGAUGCAUGAGAGGAUUUUUGCAUUUCUCUAAUUCCAACAGUAGAUUCAUCAGACAUUAGAGUUAAAAAGGAUCUUAGGACUCUU
Molecule: non-coding RNA, 1250 nt
Organism: Delphinapterus leucas (beluga whale)
Lineage: Eukaryota; Metazoa; Chordata; Mammalia; Artiodactyla; Monodontidae
Source: the annotation of a RefSeq genome assembly